This 76-nucleotide transfer RNA is filed under the name Achromobacter anxifer. RNAcentral describes it as "tRNA-Ile". It matches the Rfam family "tRNA". From Rfam's summary of the family: Transfer RNA (tRNA) molecules are approximately 80 nucleotides in length. Their secondary structure includes four short double-helical elements and three loops (D, anti-codon, and T loops). Further hydrogen bonds mediate the characteristic L-shaped molecular structure. tRNAs have two regions of fundamental functional importance: the anti-codon, which is responsible for specific mRNA codon recognition, and the 3' end, to which the tRNAs corresponding amino acid is attached (by aminoacyl-tRNA synthetases). tRNAs cope with the degeneracy of the genetic code in two manners: having more than one tRNA (with a specific anti-codon) for a particular amino acid; and 'wobble' base-pairing, i.e. permitting non-standard base-pairing at the 3rd anti-codon position. The record is from RNAcentral. Lineage: Bacteria; Pseudomonadati; Pseudomonadota; Betaproteobacteria; Burkholderiales; Alcaligenaceae.
GCCCUCUUAGCUCAGAGGCUAGAGCACCGUCUUGAUAAGGCGUAGGUCGCUGGUUCGAUUCCAGCCGAGGGUACCA